AUCUGGUUGAUCCUGCCAGUUUAUCUUGGUUUGGCCUGCCAGUAGUCAUACGCUCGUCUCAAAGAUUAAGCCAUGCAUGUGUAAGUAUAAAUAAUUCUACUUUGAAACUGCGAAUGGCUCAUUAUAUCAGUUAUAGUUUAUUAGAAAUAAUUUACUACUUGGAUAACCGUAGUAAUUCUAGGGCUAAUACAUGAGUAAAUCCUCGACUUUGAAGAGGUGUGUUUAUUAGUAUGAAAACCAUAUGCUUUUGCAUAAUAGUGAGUAAUAAUAACCUUUCAUAUCGUAUGUUGUAAUAACGAUAGUUCUUUCAAGUUUCUGCCCUAUCAGCUUUCGAUGGUAGUGCAUUGGACUACCAUGGCAGUAACGGGUAACGAAGAAUUUGGGUUCGAUUUCGGAGAGGGAGCCUGAGAGAUGGCUACCACAUCCAAGGAAGGCAGCAGGCGCGUAAAUUACCCAAUCCUGACAUAGGGAGGUAGUGACAAUAAAUCACAAUGCGGGACUUUUAGUUUUGCAAUUGGAUUGAGAACAAUGUAAAAGAGUUAUCGAUAAACAAUUGGAGGGCAAGUCUGGUGCCAGCAGCCGCGGUAAUUCCAGCUCCAAUAGCGUAUAUUAACGUUGUUGCAGAAAAAAAAAGCCUCCGAGCUUUUUAACUGCAACAACG
Molecule: ribosomal RNA, 661 nt
Filed under: Blastocystis sp.
Lineage: Eukaryota; Bigyra; Opalinata; Blastocystidae
Description: SSU rRNA
Rfam family: Eukaryotic small subunit ribosomal RNA
Source: RNAcentral